RNAcentral lists this transfer RNA (65 nucleotides) under Moorella sp. E308F. RNAcentral describes it as "tRNA-Leu". It matches the Rfam family "tRNA", at positions 5 to 66 of the family's 71-position model. Rfam says of the family: Transfer RNA (tRNA) molecules are approximately 80 nucleotides in length. Their secondary structure includes four short double-helical elements and three loops (D, anti-codon, and T loops). Further hydrogen bonds mediate the characteristic L-shaped molecular structure. tRNAs have two regions of fundamental functional importance: the anti-codon, which is responsible for specific mRNA codon recognition, and the 3' end, to which the tRNAs corresponding amino acid is attached (by aminoacyl-tRNA synthetases). tRNAs cope with the degeneracy of the genetic code in two manners: having more than one tRNA (with a specific anti-codon) for a particular amino acid; and 'wobble' base-pairing, i.e. permitting non-standard base-pairing at the 3rd anti-codon position. The record is from RNAcentral. Lineage: Bacteria; Bacillati; Bacillota; Clostridia; Neomoorellales; Neomoorellaceae. RNAcentral also lists the same sequence under 1 other name.
GCUUCGCCUAACGGUAAGGCAUCUGACUUAGGAUCAGACUAUUGGGGGUUCGAGUCCCUCAGCGU